UGUGACUGUUGGAUGACGCAAGCGAAAAAUUGGCGAAGUAAACCAAUUUCUAUUUUAUGCAAGAGGUAACGUUGAUGGUCAUACGAUAGAUUAUCGUCCGAGUCCGCUGAAUCCUUUUCCACAACAAACAUAAGCUGGUUAAGGCAGAUAAAUGCUGCAAAUAAUGUUUUAUUAAAUAAAUUACCACUUUUAAUUAGUUUAUACUGUUAA
Long non-coding RNA from Drosophila willistoni, 210 nucleotides. RefSeq lists it as uncharacterized. Lineage: Eukaryota; Metazoa; Arthropoda; Insecta; Diptera; Drosophilidae. The record is from RefSeq and is a predicted model, not a curated record. The transcript has 2 exons.